AAGAAGACAAAAAAUCUUUAGUGUCCACCGAAACAGAAAGCAUAAAUAGCGGAGAGAAGCAAGAUGAGUUUCAGCAAAUAAAAGGCGAUAAAAAACAUACAUACAUCACUAUUAAUCCAUGAUGAUGAAGCACAAAGCCAACAUGGCAAUGGUGUUUGUACAGAUUAUAUACGCAGGAAUGCCAUUGCUCUCAAAAGUGGCUAUCUCUCAAGGGACCAACCCUUUUGUCUUUGUUUUCUACCGACAAGCCUUCGCUGCUCUGGCGUUGUCCCCUUUCGCAUUCUUCCUUGAAAGCGCCAAAUCAUCUCCUCUGUCGUUCAUCUUGCUGCUGAAAAUUUUCAUGAUCUCCUUAUUCGGACUCACGCUAAGUCUCAAUCUCUACUAUGUGGCCAUCGACAACACCACGGCCACUUUUGCAGCAGCAACCACCAACGCCAUUCCCUCUAUCACCUUCGUAUUGGCUCUUCUUUUCAGAUUAGAGGCGGUGACGUUAAAGAAGUCAUACGGACUAGCGAAAGUAUUUGGUUCGAUGGUUGGUAUGUUGGGCGCAUUAGUGUUCGCCUUUGUGAAAGGGCCAAGUUUGAUCAAUCAUUAUAGCAACACGACCAUUCCAAACAAAGCCGUUCCAUCAACAAAAAAUUCUGUAAAAGGAUCAAUCACUAUGCUUGCCGCCAAUACCUGCUGGUGUUUGUGGAUUGUAUUGCAGAGAUUUGUGACUGAUUGCAAGGACCUGAUUACAAUGAUACAAGAGCCACAAGCUUGGCCCAACUUUUCAACUGAGCUGGAAAUCAUUCAAACUCUUCGGUUGUGCUAUUCGGACUUCAAGAUCAGCUAUUUACCAAGGGCACAAAAUGAGAUUGCAGAUUCAUUAGCUAGGAAUGCACGUUCUUUUCAUAGAUCUCUAUGUUUUAUUGGUUGUUCUAUUCCGAUCUGGCUCUCCAGACCACCUCAAGUUUGAGUAAUAGAAUAGCCGUUUGCUGCAAAAAAAAAAAAAAUUAUUUUAGUAAGGUAAGAGGUAAAAAUGUCAAAAUUUUAAGCAGUUUAAUUAAACGCAUAUAAACUUAGUUCUGAUUUAUAUAUUACAAAGUUUUUUCUAAAAUAUUAAGUUAUCGAAAUUUUCAUCCUUAUAAUUUACUGAAUUUAUAUUCAUUGUGUUUUAUUUUGGUUUGGUUACUUAAACCACUUUGAAUUUGUUGCCAAUUUUUCUUUUUUAAUUUGAGUAAUAAAGUAAUAUGCAGAAAAUAAAUAAUAAGCUAUUUAAAAAAAAUAAUUUAUUUCGAAACCUAAUUCACCCUCCACCACGGUAUGAGAAAAAAAGACUAUUUGUCCAAACUUUUAUGAUUGAUGAUUAUUGGCAACGGAACGGUGAUAUCGUGCGAGUGGGAAGGGAUUGAAUCAUUCAUUCAUCGGAUACGUCUUUUCCGGUUUGGUUAGAUAUUUUACAUAUUAGUAUCAUUUUAUAUGUUGGCUAAAGAUUUUCUUACAUACAUUAAAAAUAUAUUAUUACCGUUUGUACUAUACUAUUUUAUUAAUACGUUAUACAAUUUUAUCCCUCUUACUAAGACAUUGAACUAUUAAGAUGUGAACUGGAACUUUAUUUAAAAUUUUGUAUAAAAUCUAAAAUAUAGUAUUUCAUUUUGAACAAUUAAUCUUGUAGAUAUAUAAUCUAAAAUGGAGAGAGUUUUAUUUACUUUUCCGAACAUUUAAAUAUUUGUAGGAACCGGUCAAUGUCUAUUUUAUGAAAGAAAAAAGAGUUAAGAGUCAAAGCAGAACUUGUAUUUAUCAUUCAUCAUAUAUAAUAAUUAAUCAACAACCUAUCACCUGUGUAUAGGUAGGAAAACAAAAUUACAAGAUUAUUGCAUCUAGGCAAGCGACGUCAUGUAAUAGUAUGGAUAUGUUUUUUACUAAGUAUAAAAAUUGAAAAAUAUUCAUAUCUAUUAUAGAUUCUGAAAAAUAGAUUACAAGUGAUAAAUUCAAGCCCAUACUUUCAAUCUUCAUGGCACUCUCACUCGAAUAUUGGUUAGGCUGGAUGGAUGAACCCACGUAAUUGGUACGAGCAAGGUGAUGAAAGAAUACACAGCGAAGUUGCGAUUGGUAACACUUCAAUGCGUCUUCAGUUGUAUGCAAACCGCAGUUUGGGCAGUCGCAGUGAACAGAAGUCCAUCAGUUUGGAAGAUC
Brassica napus (rape) is the source of this 2178-nucleotide RNA transcript. It is a transcript of the gene named WAT1-related protein At1g43650-like, with no coding region annotated. Lineage: Eukaryota; Viridiplantae; Streptophyta; Magnoliopsida; Brassicales; Brassicaceae. The transcript has 6 exons. The record is from RefSeq and is a predicted model, not a curated record.